AUCCUUCUGGUUCAUAAACGUGAUAAAUGAGAGUUCACACGGCUGUGUGACAUGUGCAGUCCCUCUGUUACGACUUGGCACAUUACUCCUCUGAUU
Small nucleolar RNA from Pseudophryne corroboree (corroboree frog), 96 nucleotides. RefSeq annotates it as small nucleolar RNA U13. The record is from RefSeq and is a predicted model, not a curated record. The transcript has a single exon. Lineage: Eukaryota; Metazoa; Chordata; Amphibia; Anura; Myobatrachidae.